Molecule: ribosomal RNA, 253 nt
Filed under: uncultured bacterium
Lineage: Bacteria
Description: partial 16S ribosomal RNA
Rfam family: Bacterial small subunit ribosomal RNA
Source: RNAcentral
UACGGGGGGGGCAAGCGUUGUUCGGAAUUACUGGGCGUAAAGAGCUCGUAGGCGGUUUGUCGCGUUGUUCGUGAAAACUCACAACUCAAUUGUGGGCGUGCGGGCGAUACGGGCAGACUGGAGUACUGCAGGGGAGACUGGAAUUCCUGGUGUAGCGGUGGAAUGCGCAGAUAUCAGGAGGAACACCGGUGGCGAAGGCGGGUCUCUGGGCAGUAACUGACGCUGAGGAGCGAAAGCGUGGGGAGCGAACAGG